This 419-nucleotide ribosomal RNA is filed under the name Pannonibacter indicus. RNAcentral's name for it is "bacterial SSU rRNA". It matches the Rfam family "Bacterial small subunit ribosomal RNA", at positions 932 to 1353 of the family's 1533-position model. Lineage: Bacteria; Pseudomonadati; Pseudomonadota; Alphaproteobacteria; Hyphomicrobiales; Stappiaceae. The record is from RNAcentral.
GUGGAGCAUGUGGUUUAUUCGAAGCAACGCGCAGAACCUUACCAGCCCUUGACAUUUGGUGCUACCACGGGAGACCGUGGGUUCCCUUCGGGGACGCCAAGACAGGUGCUGCAUGGCUGUCGUCAGCUCGUGUCGUGAGAUGUUGGGUUAAGUCCCGCAACGAGCGCAACCCUCGCCCUUAGUUGCCAGCAUUGAGUUGGGCACUCUAGGGGGACUGCCGGUGAUAAGCCGAGAGGAAGGUGGGGAUGACGUCAAGUCCUCAUGGCCCUUACGGGCUGGGCUACACACGUGCUACAAUGGCGGUGACAGUGGGCAGCGAAGGGGCGACCCGGAGCUAAUCUCCAAAAGCCGUCUCAGUUCGGAUUGUUCUCUGCAACUCGAGAGCAUGAAGUUGGAAUCCCUAGUAAUCGCGUAACACC